This 66-nucleotide transfer RNA is filed under the name Mekongiana xiangchengensis. Its description in RNAcentral is "tRNA-Ser". The record is from RNAcentral. Lineage: Eukaryota; Metazoa; Arthropoda; Insecta; Orthoptera; Pyrgomorphidae.
GGAUAGUAAAGUAUUUUUAGAGCUGCUAACUCAUAAUUAUAAUGGUUAAACACCAUUAACAUUCCC